Molecule: long non-coding RNA, 356 nt
Organism: Juglans regia (Persian walnut)
Lineage: Eukaryota; Viridiplantae; Streptophyta; Magnoliopsida; Fagales; Juglandaceae
Exons: 2
Source: RefSeq, a predicted model, not a curated record
CCCAUAAUCACCAAAAUGUCACUCAUGCUCUCCUUUCACUCUUCAGAAUGUGUAAGAGGCAUUCAGGUCUUUACUUCCUUCACUUCACCACUUUUCACUCAAAUUCUUGCAAAAAAACCCUUAGGAGCUCUCUUGGGCAGCUUUCAGUGGCUUUUUGUGUGCCAUUUCUGGAACCCUUGUCAAGAUUCAAGAUUCAUGUUCACGUUCAUGUUCAUGUACAGCCACCAGUAGGGGCUCCACACCACACCGAUCGGGGCCCGAAUUGUCAUAGCGGAUCAGGAAUGACUCUUUCUCCCUUUUUGACUUGUUGUUCCAUUUUUAGAAGAUGACAUAGAGAAUCGCCCACCCUUAUUCAA